RNAcentral lists this transfer RNA (73 nucleotides) under Stegodyphus mimosarum. It matches the Rfam family "tRNA". From Rfam's summary of the family: Transfer RNA (tRNA) molecules are approximately 80 nucleotides in length. Their secondary structure includes four short double-helical elements and three loops (D, anti-codon, and T loops). The record is from Rfam by way of RNAcentral. Lineage: Eukaryota; Metazoa; Arthropoda; Arachnida; Araneae; Eresidae.
GCCUUCGUGGUGUAGUGGUCAGCACGCUCGGUGCGUACUCGAGAAGCCUGUGGUUCAAGUCCCGUCGAAGGCG